UGAUGGUCACAACAAUAACUCUAGGAAAAUAGAACAGGUCACAUAUCAGAUUUGACACUAAUCCCAAAUCCAUCCAACAAGCAGAGGACGAAAAGAUCCGAAAAAUCUAAACUUUACAUCGAAGAAACCUGGAAAAUAGUCGACAUAUAGGAGUAACACACAAACCGAACCAGCAUCCAAUCGUCCAGAAGAAUAAGUACAGUCAAAAAGAGCGCAAGUUCGAGACUUUAGAUCGAUAUUCAAAUGAAACAAAGAGAAGUAAGACGGUCGGAGAUCCAAGAACGCCAGAAUCAACCAUUUCCUACAAAAGUCGGGUUUUGAUAGGAAAGCGAGGCGUCUUAGAUCGAUAUUCAAACGAAACAAAGAGAAGCAAGACGGUCGGAGAUCGAAGAACGCCAGAAUCAAUCAUUUCCAACAAAAAUCAGGUUUUUGAGAGGGAAACGGGGCGUCUUACUUCUCCUGCUCAGCGAGGGCGCCGAGGGCGGAGCGGAUGCCAGGGAUGUGAGGGGAGUGCGGGGCGGUUGAGGGGGAAGGGGAGUAGGCCAUGUA
This 549-nucleotide long non-coding RNA is filed under the name Musa acuminata (dwarf banana). RNAcentral describes it as "long non-coding RNA (MACU_LNC001817)". The record is from RNAcentral. Lineage: Eukaryota; Viridiplantae; Streptophyta; Magnoliopsida; Zingiberales; Musaceae.